RNAcentral lists this ribosomal RNA (404 nucleotides) under uncultured bacterium. RNAcentral's name for it is "bacterial SSU rRNA". It matches the Rfam family "Bacterial small subunit ribosomal RNA", at positions 355 to 776 of the family's 1533-position model. RNAcentral also lists the same sequence under 1 other name. The record is from RNAcentral.
UAGGGAAUAUUGCUCAAUGGGGGAAACCCUGAAGCAGCAACGCCGCGUGGAGGAUGAAGGUUUUCGGAUUGUAAACUCCUUUUGUUAGAGAAGAUAAUGACGGUAUCUAACGAAUAAGCACCGGCUAACUCCGUGCCAGCAGCCGCGGUAAUACGGAGGGUGCAAGCGUUACUCGGAAUCACUGGGCGUAAAGAGCGCGUAGGCGGGAUAGCAAGUCAGAUGUGAAAUCCUAUGGCUUAACCAUAGAACUGCAUUUGAAACUGUUAUUCUAGAGUAUGGGAGAGGUAGGUGGAAUUCUUGGUGUAGGGGUAAAAUCCGUAGAGAUCAAGAGGAAUACUCAUUGCGAAGGCGACCUGCUAGAACAUAACUGACGCUGAUGCGCGAAAGCGUGGGGAGCAAACAGG